Molecule: long non-coding RNA, 280 nt
Organism: Cynoglossus semilaevis (tongue sole)
Lineage: Eukaryota; Metazoa; Chordata; Actinopteri; Pleuronectiformes; Cynoglossidae
Exons: 2
Source: RefSeq, a predicted model, not a curated record
UCGUUCUGCUGCUGAAGCCUGUUCUGCAGCUGGACAAACGCACAGACAGAAGAUCCAGUCACAGUGUAUCACCAGAACUGGGUUCAAGCUACUGGUUCUGUGCCAGUUGUUGUUUGGACAGCAACUAACGUUAUCUUCACAACUGCAGCUCCUGAGAAUGACGCGAAGACAGUGAACUGCUCUGACACGUCCACUCAGAGCGAAGUUUGUCCAACUCUUUGGUCUUUUCUGACAGAGUCUGUGACAGAAAGACGUGUGUUCAAUAAACAAAUGUAAAAAA